This is a long non-coding RNA of Brassica oleracea var. oleracea, 599 nucleotides long. RefSeq lists it as uncharacterized. The record is from RefSeq and is a predicted model, not a curated record. The transcript has 4 exons. Lineage: Eukaryota; Viridiplantae; Streptophyta; Magnoliopsida; Brassicales; Brassicaceae.
AACAUGUAUACACAUACUGACGUACAUAUAUAUUCCUCUCAAAUCUCUCUGUCUCAGACUGUUUAUCUUAGAGACGACAAGUAGAUUCCUUCUUAUUUACUUUACCAGCAUCCAAUAAUUGUCAUAUUAUUUCUCGAGAAACAAGAUUCUUGUUUACUUCCCGACAAAAUACAAUCUCGAUUUCAUCUCUGCUUUUAUCUGUACUUCACUGAGCUUGUUCUUUUCUGCUUUUAAAGUUGGAAUCUCAUGUGAGAUCAAGAGCUUAUAGACAAGGUCAACGGAAGAAGUAGAAGACUUAAGCAUUGUUGUUAAAUAUGGAUGGGAAAGUGUUGCAAAAUUUCCAGAAGAGCUUUGUUCAGGUUCAAGAUAUUCUCGAUCAAAACCGGCUUCUGAUCAACGAGAUCAACCAGAACCACGAGUCAAAACAAGCAGAUCACUUAGCCAGAUCGGUUGAUGCUUCACCAGAAGGAGAAUCCACUGGGACCUUGAGAUCUGAUGGGAAGGCUAAUAACCAGAAGAGAUUUAGAUGCGAGUAAUGUACCAAAGAAUGAUCAAUCUUUGUGUUCUGUAGAUUCAGUGCUAAUGUGAGUGUGGAGCUA